AUGGUUGUGGCAGAGGCCUCUUGUCCAGGAGAAGAAAAAACCAGUGACUUACUUCUAAUGAAUAGAAAACAGCAAGAGUGGUGGGAUAUCACUUUCAAAGCUGCCACCGUGAUUGGAGGCUUAUUCAUCUAUAAUCACAAGGGGGAGGUGCUCAUCUCCCGGGUCUACCGAGAUGACAUCGGGAGGAAUGCAGUGGAUGCCUUUCGGGUCAAUGUUAUCUACGCCCGGCAGCAGGUUCGCAGCCCCGUCACCAACAUCGCUCGCACCAGUUUCUUCCAUGUCAAGCGGUCCAACAUCUGGUUGGCAGCUGUCACCAAGCAGAAUGUCAAUGCUGCCAUGGUCUUCGAAUUCCUCUAUAAGAUGUGUGACGUAAUGGUUGCCUACUUCGGCAAGAUCAGCGAGGAGAACAUCAAGAACAAUUUUGUGCUCAUAAAUGAGCUGCUGGAUGAGAUCCUGGACUUUGGCUAUCCACAGCUUUCAGAGACAGGAGCACUGAAAACCUUCAUUACUCAGCAGGGUAUCAAGAGCCAGCAUCAGACAAAAGAAGAGCAAUCCCAGAUCACCAGCCAGGUGACCGGGCAGAUUGGCUGGAGGCGGGAGGGCAUCAGGUAUCGCCGGAAUGAGCUCUUCUUGGAUGUGCUGGAGAGUGUGAACCUCCUCAUGUCCCCCCAGGGGCAGGUGCUGAGCGCCCAUGUGUCAGGCCGGGUGGUGAUGAAGAACUACCUGAGUGGCAUGCCUGAGUGCAAGUUUGGGAUGAAUGACAAGAUUGUCAUUGAGAAGCAAGGCAAAGGCACAGCUGAUGAAACAAGCAAGAGUGGGAAGCAAUCGAUUGCCAUCGAUGACUGCACCUUCCACCAGUGUGUGCGACUCAGCAAGUUUGACUCUGAACACAGCAUCAGAUUCAUCCCACCAGAUGGAGAGUUUGAGCUAAUGAGGUAUUGUACCACCAAGGACAUCAUCCUUCCUUUCCAGGUGAUCCCACUAGUGCGAGAAGUGGGACGCACCAAGCUGGAGGUUAAGGUGGUUAUCAAGUCCAAUUUCAAGCCCUCAUUACUGGCUCAGAAGAUUGAGGUGAGGAUCCCAACCCCACUGAACACAAGCGGGGUACAGGUGAUCGGCAUGAAGGGGAAGGCCAAGUACAAGGCCAGCGAGAACGCCAUCGUGUGGAAGAUCAAGCGCAUGGCAGGUAUGAAGUAAUCGCAAAUCAGCGCAGAGAUUGAACUUCUGCCCACCAAUGACAAGAAGAAAUGGGCUCGACCCCCCAUUUCCAUGAACUUUGAGGUGCCAUUCGCACCCUCUGGACUCAAAGUGCGCUACUUGAAGGUGUUUGAACCGAAGCUGAACUACAGCGACCACGAUGUCAUCAAAUGGGUGCGCUAUUUUGGCCGCAGCGGCAUUUAUGAGACCCGCUGCUAGCUGCCUAGUAGCAGCUAGCCUGUCUCCCCACCCGCCCUUUUCCACAGGUCUGGGUGCCCUGGGCCACCACACUUCAGUGUCUCCUCCCUCCUGCU
This is a non-coding RNA of Callorhinus ursinus (northern fur seal), 1511 nucleotides long. The record is from RefSeq and is a predicted model, not a curated record. NCBI's taxonomy places the organism in Eukaryota, Metazoa, Chordata, Mammalia, Carnivora, Otariidae.